GGCAUAGCCAAGCGGUAAGGCAACAGACUUUGACUCUGUCAUCCGUGGGUUCAAAUCCCGCUGCC
Molecule: transfer RNA, 65 nt
Filed under: Ruminococcus flavefaciens
Lineage: Bacteria; Bacillati; Bacillota; Clostridia; Eubacteriales; Oscillospiraceae
Rfam family: tRNA
About the family: Transfer RNA (tRNA) molecules are approximately 80 nucleotides in length. Their secondary structure includes four short double-helical elements and three loops (D, anti-codon, and T loops). Further hydrogen bonds mediate the characteristic L-shaped molecular structure. tRNAs have two regions of fundamental functional importance: the anti-codon, which is responsible for specific mRNA codon recognition, and the 3' end, to which the tRNAs corresponding amino acid is attached (by aminoacyl-tRNA synthetases). tRNAs cope with the degeneracy of the genetic code in two manners: having more than one tRNA (with a specific anti-codon) for a particular amino acid; and 'wobble' base-pairing, i.e. permitting non-standard base-pairing at the 3rd anti-codon position.
Source: RNAcentral